GUCUACAGCCAUACCACCCUGAAUGCACCUGAUCUCAUCUGAUCUCAGAAGCUAAGCAGGGUCAGGCCUGGUUAGUACUUGGAUGGAAGACUUGGGAGUAAGAAGAAAAUCACGACA
Molecule: ribosomal RNA, 117 nt
Organism: Chlorocebus sabaeus (green monkey)
Lineage: Eukaryota; Metazoa; Chordata; Mammalia; Primates; Cercopithecidae
Source: Ensembl